Molecule: ribosomal RNA, 437 nt
Filed under: uncultured bacterium
Lineage: Bacteria
Description: bacterial SSU rRNA
Rfam family: Bacterial small subunit ribosomal RNA
Source: RNAcentral
GAGCGAGAAAAGGGGGGCAACUCCCUGAGUACAGCGGCGCACGGGUGAGUAACACGUGGGUAAUCUGCCCUGGAGUGGGGAAUAACACCGGGAAACCGGUGCUAAUACCGCAUACGAUAGCGAGGUCUGCGGACUUUGUUAUGAAAGGAGCAAUUCGCUCUAGGAGGAGCCCGCGGCUGAUUAGCUAGUUGGUGAGGUAACGGCUCACCAAGGCUACGAUCAGUAUCCGGUCUGAGAGGACGGUCGGACACACUGGAACUGAGACACGGUCCAGACUCCUACGGGAGGCAGCAGUGGGGAAUUUUUCGCAAUGGGGGCAACCCUGACGAAGCAACGCCGCGUGGGUGAUGAAGUCUCUUGGGACGUAAAACCCUUUCGACGGGGAAGAAACCGCAAGGUUGACGGUACCCGUAGAAGAAGCCCCGGCUAACUCCGUG